RNAcentral lists this ribosomal RNA (533 nucleotides) under Cilicaeopsis whiteleggei. RNAcentral describes it as "partial 16S ribosomal RNA". It matches the Rfam family "Bacterial large subunit ribosomal RNA", at positions 1796 to 2620 of the family's 2925-position model. Lineage: Eukaryota; Metazoa; Arthropoda; Malacostraca; Isopoda; Sphaeromatidae. The record is from RNAcentral.
UCGCCUGUUUUUUCAAAAACAUCGCCAGCAAAUUAACUACUGGUAGAGUCUGCCCGGUGAAUUAUUUAACGGCCGCAGUAUCCUAACUGUGCUAAGGUAGCAUAAUCAUUAGUUCUUUUAUUGAGAACUCGUAUGAACGACCUGACGAGAGAUCGACUAUUUCAGCACUGUCCCGAACUUAAGAAAGAGGUUAAAACCCCUCUAAAUCCCAGUAGGACGACAAGACCCUAUAAAACUUUACUCCAAUCUUUAAACCUUAUCUUAGACCUUAGAUUUAAAAUAAGAGUUAUGCUGGGGCGGCAAGUAAAAUACAAUCAAUACUCAACCUAACGCAAUGAUUGAAAUUUAUAACCACCAAUAGAGACCCAAGAACAAGUUACUUUAGGGAUAACAGCGUAAUAUUUCUAGAGAGCCCACAUCGACAGAGAUGCUUACGACCUCGAUGUUGAAUUGAAGUACCACGUCGAAGCAGCCAUCGAUUUAGGAAGUCUGUUCGACUUUUAAACCUUCACAUGAUCUGAGUCCAAACCGGA